CAGCUUUCGGAACAAAUGAAGUAGGGGCUGGAUCAUCUUUGUAUGGUCCAGUUAUUUCAUCAGGGUUUCUUCGAUCACCACCGUAUACUCCAUUGUUGUUGAAAACAAUCACAAUAACUGGUAACUGAUAUCGCACGAGCGUCUCUACUUCCAUCGCACUGAAGCCAAAACCCGAAUCCCCUUCAACCGCAACCACCAACCGCUCCGGUGAUGCCACCGCAGCCGCAAUGCAGUAUCCCAGACCAACCCCCAUCGUCCCCCACGUCCCCGCAUCAAG
RNAcentral lists this unclassified non-coding RNA (277 nucleotides) under Hevea brasiliensis (rubber tree). Lineage: Eukaryota; Viridiplantae; Streptophyta; Magnoliopsida; Malpighiales; Euphorbiaceae. The record is from RNAcentral.